RNAcentral lists this ribosomal RNA (470 nucleotides) under uncultured bacterium. RNAcentral's name for it is "bacterial SSU rRNA". It matches the Rfam family "Bacterial small subunit ribosomal RNA", at positions 335 to 799 of the family's 1533-position model. The record is from RNAcentral.
ACUCCUACGGGAGGCAGCAGUGGGGAAUAUUGCACAAUGGGCGCAAGCCUGAUGCAGCCAUGCCGCGUGUAUGAAGAAGGCCUUCGGGUUGUAAAGUACUUUCAGCAGUGAGGAAGGCGGGUACGUUAAUAGCGUGCUUGUUUGACGUUAGCUGCAGAAGAAGCACCGGCUAACUCCGUGCCAGCAGCCGCGGUAAUAAGGAGGGUGCGAGCGUUAAUCGGAAUUACUGGGCGUAAAGCGCAUGCAGGUGGUUUGUUAAGUCAGAUGUGAAAGCCCGGGGCUCAACCUCGGAAUUGCAUUUGAAACUGGCAGACUAGAGUACUGUAGAGGGGGGUAGAAUUUCAGGUGUAGCGGUGAAAUGCGUAGAGAUCUGAAGGAUACCGGUGCGAAGCGGCCCCCUGGACAGAUACUGACACUCAGAUGCGAAAGCGUGGGGAGCAAACAGGAUUAGAUACCCUGGUAGGAUAGCG